Molecule: small RNA, 29 nt
Filed under: Bombyx mori (domestic silkworm)
Lineage: Eukaryota; Metazoa; Arthropoda; Insecta; Lepidoptera; Bombycidae
Description: ovarian small RNA-31812
Source: RNAcentral
UGACGUCAUAACAAUGCUCUCGAGUAGAU